AUGCCGACAUUCUCUGUUGUUAAGACGGGGAGGGGAGAAAUCUUAGUUUUCGGGCUCUGGGGAUAGUACGCUUGCAAGAGUGAAACUUAAAGCGAAAUUGACGGAAGAUCACCACAAGGAGUGGAUUGUACUGCUUAAUUUGACUCAACACGGGAAAACUUACCAGGGCCAAGUCUCUCGUAGAUUGGCGACAUGAGAGGGGCAAGAGUGGUGCAUGGCCGUUGGAAAUUGAUGGGAA
Molecule: ribosomal RNA, 238 nt
Filed under: Paranucleospora theridion
Lineage: Eukaryota; Fungi; Microsporidia; Enterocytozoonidae
Description: partial small subunit ribosomal RNA
Rfam family: Microsporidia small subunit ribosomal RNA
Source: RNAcentral